RNAcentral lists this ribosomal RNA (253 nucleotides) under uncultured bacterium. Its description in RNAcentral is "partial 16S ribosomal RNA". It matches the Rfam family "Bacterial small subunit ribosomal RNA", at positions 524 to 776 of the family's 1533-position model. The record is from RNAcentral.
UACGUAGGGGGCAAGCGUUGUCCGGAUUCACUGGGCGUAAAGCGCGUGUAGGCGGCCUCUCAAGUCGGGUGUGAAAGCCCGGGGCUCAACCCCGGGAUGCCGCUCGAAACUGGGAGGCUUGAGGACGGAAGAGGGGAGUGGAAUUCCUGGUGUAGCGGUGAAAUGCGUAGAGAUCAGGAGGAACACCCGUGGCGAAGGCGGGUCUCUGGGCCGAAACUGACGCUGAGGAGCGAAAGCGUGGGGAGCGAACAGG